RNAcentral lists this long non-coding RNA (411 nucleotides) under Cricetulus griseus (Chinese hamster). RNAcentral describes it as "lncRNA (ENSCGRG00015036379.1)". Lineage: Eukaryota; Metazoa; Chordata; Mammalia; Rodentia; Cricetidae. The record is from RNAcentral.
CAUCAAGCCCCGUCUCCCUCUCACAGCUUCUGAGGUCAGCUCUCCGUGAGGAAGACUGUCCAGAGGAAGGCAAGUCCUCCGCCACAGAUCCCUGCAGAAGCAGGUGCCCGUGUUGUUUUCCAAGUUCAAGGUCUUUCUGUGGCUGCAGCCAAGAAGAGGUUCUAGGGAAUCUGAUAAGAAACGGCACUAAUUAACACUAAUUUGCUGACACAGCUGCUUGAGCUUCUGCUCACACCUCAGCAGGCCCAUGUGAGGAACAGCAGCCAGAGAGACAGCCCCCACACAAAGCGUAAAGAGUGCAGCUUCCCGAGAGAAGAGGGACCAGCAAGAGGGGCCGAGGCUGUCUGCACUGAACUCUGCAUUCCCUUCCCAGUAAGAAGUCAUGCAAAAUCCAAGCUUGCGUCUCACAAU